Cucumis sativus (cucumber) is the source of this 706-nucleotide long non-coding RNA. RefSeq lists it as uncharacterized. The transcript is spliced from 3 exons. The record is from RefSeq and is a predicted model, not a curated record. Lineage: Eukaryota; Viridiplantae; Streptophyta; Magnoliopsida; Cucurbitales; Cucurbitaceae.
GGAAAAAGAAAUAAUAAUAAUAAUAAUAUUCAUCAUCAUUAUAUUAGGCCAAUUGUGAAACAUGAAAGAUCAUUCAAUUUCAUUUUCUUCCUUCCUCACAAACCCUAGCCACUGCCCCUCUUCAUCUCCACUUCAGGUUAUCGUCCUCUCUCGUGUAGCCAUCGUUAGAGAACUAAGCUGCAUCCGAUCACCACACAUUUUCGUUGAGUUGUUGUCUUCGUUCAAUCGUUCUCGCUAAGCUUCAUCCUUCUUCUGUCAUCACAUCCCACCUAGCAAAGCCUCUGACCAAGUUUCAUUCGCCGCAGCGUGCAGAUCUCCGUCGUGACUCUCCAUCACUGUGAAGCUAAAGAGUCUCUAUUCUUCCUUCACCCUAAUCGAUAUUCUCACGUGCGAGCUAUCCCGCCAUCAGAGCCGCUCACGUGAGCCGCCACAUGUUUUCUUCUCCACCGUUCGAACUUGAGACUUCUUCACCUAACCGAGCUAUUUUGGGCUUCUUUUGUUAGCCAAGCCACCAGAUUGAGCCAGUUGCUAUUUGGGUCUUUCGCUAAUUUGAGGAAUGAUUAAUUGGUGGGAAUUUUUCCAUUACGUAAGGUUGAUUUGAUAUCAAGGAUUGGUUCUUGGAAAGUUGAUUCAUUAGAAAGCUUGACUGUCGUUGUUAGGAAUAAACUUUGUUAAGCAAAUCUUGAGGUAAGAAGUUCUACUAUUA